AUUGAACGCUGGCGGCAGGCCUAACACAUGCAAGUCGAACGAGUGGCGGACGGGUGAGUAAUGUCUGGGAAACUGCCUGAUGGAGGGGGAUAACUACUGGAAACGGUAGCUAAUACCGCAUACCAUCGGAUGUGCCCAGAUGGGAUUAGCUAGUGGGUGGGGUAACGGAUCACCUAGGCGACGAUCCCUAGCUGGUCUGAGAGGAUGACCGGCCACACUGGAACUGAGACACGGUCCAGACGCCUACGGGAGGCAGCAGUGGGGAAUAUUGCACAAGGGACGCAAGCCUGAUGGAGCCAUGCCGCGUGUAUGAAGAAGGCCUUCGGAUUGUAAAGUACUUUCAGCAGGGAAGCGUUACCCACAGAGAAAGCACCGGCUAACUCCGUGCCAGCAGCCGCGGUAAUUC
This 406-nucleotide ribosomal RNA is filed under the name uncultured bacterium. RNAcentral describes it as "partial 16S ribosomal RNA". It matches the Rfam family "Bacterial small subunit ribosomal RNA", at positions 30 to 526 of the family's 1533-position model. The record is from RNAcentral.